GCCAUCUGCAAGCUAGGAAGAGAGCUCUCAUCAGAAACCAAACACACCCUCCAGAACUGCCUGUCUCCACAUGCACAUUGCAAGCCCACACAACUGAAGGCUGAUGUUAUCAGCCAAGUCGGGCAGGAGAUGUAUCUGAGAGUCCACCCCUGUUGGAGAUGGAGGGAGACCAAGAGGAGAGAAACCAGGAUUGCACUGAGGCCGGGGUGAAAACAGGCCGCCCAGUGGGAUGCUAGAGAGCUGAGAAGAGAUCUCAAGCUGGGAAGAUGCAAGCCUGAAGCUAUCUACAGCUAUCCUCUUCUCCCGUCCCCGCCCCUGUGUUCUUGCCCCCACCCAAGAGGAGGAAGUCACCUGCUGAAUAAGACAUUACAUGCACAGUGAAGAAAAGAGAUGGAGACCUUGCCUGACUGAACUGUGUUGGACUCAGGAUUCACUCAGUUGUAUAAGACAACUGAUCUCUUCUGCUUAGCCCAGUUCAUCUAGGAAUGGAAUUCUAAAUGGAAAAAAAUUUUUUCUUCAACAUUUUGAAGGUAUUAUUUCAUGGCAUUUGAAAGCAAUGUCGCUGGCAUCCAGUGUCGCUACUGACAGUUUUUCAAAGCUGUUUUGAAUAAUAGCCUCUUCUUGUUUAAUGGAAGCAACAUCUUAUCUCUAAGCAAGCACGGUGACCAUAUUUUCCAUAGAAUCAGGACGCAUUAUCUGACAAGUGAUUUAUGGGCAGCCUCCAGGUGCAAAAAGGAAUCGGUGUUAUAAAAGUUUCAACAUCAAAAUAUUGGAACUCCAAGGAUAGCUGGAUGACUUUACUGGAAAAAGCACAUUUGGCACCACUCCCUGUAAGACUGUGAGUUACUCAAGAGGGGGAACUAGACAUUACACCUCUUUUGAAGUUCUCUCCAUACCCAGCAUGACUACUAAAUCCACUACUGAGUGGAUGGGUGGUUGGCUGAUCUCUCUUCUCUCCCAGCUCAAGUGUCAUUUCAGAGACACCUUUCUUGAUUUCCCAAAUGAGGUCAUGCUGUUAUGUUCUCAUGGCA
Molecule: long non-coding RNA, 1031 nt
Organism: Felis catus (domestic cat)
Lineage: Eukaryota; Metazoa; Chordata; Mammalia; Carnivora; Felidae
Exons: 7
Source: RefSeq, a predicted model, not a curated record